This 467-nucleotide ribosomal RNA is filed under the name uncultured bacterium. RNAcentral describes it as "partial 16S ribosomal RNA". It matches the Rfam family "Bacterial small subunit ribosomal RNA", at positions 28 to 507 of the family's 1533-position model. The record is from RNAcentral.
GACGAACGCUGGCGGCGUGCUUAACACAUGCAAGUCGAACGGAAAGGCCUCUUUCGGGGGGUACUCGCGUGGCGAACGGGUGAGUAACACGUGAGUAACCUGCCCUUGACUUUGGGAUAACUUCAGGAAACUGGGGCUAAUACCGGCUAGGAGCUCCUGCUGCAUGGUGGGGGUUGGAAAGUUUCGGCGGUUGGGGAUGGAUUCGCGGGUUAUCAGCUUGUUGGUGGGGUGGUGGCUUACCAAGGCGUUGCCGGGUAGCCGGCCAGUGAGGGUGACCGGCCAUAUUGGGACUGAGGUACGGCCCAGACUCCUACGGGAGGCAGCAGUGGGGAAUAUUGCACAAUGGGUGGAAGCCUGAUGCAGCAACGCCGUGUGCGGGAUGACGGCCUUCGGGUUGUAAACCGCAUUCGCUCAUGACGAAGCUUUGUGUGACGGUAGUGGGUAAAGAAGCACCGGCUAACUACGUG